RNAcentral lists this ribosomal RNA (512 nucleotides) under Galaxias paucispondylus. RNAcentral describes it as "partial 16S ribosomal RNA". It matches the Rfam family "Bacterial large subunit ribosomal RNA", at positions 1862 to 2571 of the family's 2925-position model. The record is from RNAcentral. Lineage: Eukaryota; Metazoa; Chordata; Actinopteri; Galaxiiformes; Galaxiidae.
CCCUGUGACUAUAAGUUUAACGGCCGCGGUAUUUUGACCGUGCAAAGGUAGCGCAAUCACUUGUCUUUUAAAUGGAGACCUGUAUGAAUGGCAAGACGAGGGCUAAGCUGUCUCCUUUUCCAAGUCAGUGAAAUUGAUCUCCCCGUGCAGAAGCGGGGAUGCCAUCAUAAGACGAGAAGACCCUAUGGAGCUUUAGACACUAGAAAACCCAUGUUAAACAACCUCUUUAAAGAGUAAGAACUUAAUGGCACCUCAUCUAUUUGUCUUCGGUUGGGGCGACCGCGGGGGAAAGACUAGCCCCCAUGUGGAAUGGGAAUAUAUUUUCUCAGAGCCAAGAAGGACCUUUCUAAGCAACAGAAAUUCUGACCAAAAAUGAUCCGGCAAAGCCGAUCAACGGACCCAGUUACCCUAGGGAUAACAGCGCAAUCCUCUCCCAGAGUCCCUAUCGACGAGGGGGUUUACGACCUCGAUGUUGGAUCAGGACAUCCUAAUGGUGCAGCCGCUAUUAAGGG